RNAcentral lists this long non-coding RNA (5696 nucleotides) under Sus scrofa (pig). RNAcentral describes it as "lncRNA (ENSSSCG00040049260.1)". Lineage: Eukaryota; Metazoa; Chordata; Mammalia; Artiodactyla; Suidae. The record is from RNAcentral.
GGCAAAAGUUAAAGAUAGAGGAUUUUAAAGCCAGCAAGAGAAAAACAAAAUGUUAAUUAUAAGGGAAUCCCCAUAAGGCUAUCAGCUGAUUUCUCUACAGAAACAUUACAGGCCAGAAGAGAGUGGCAAGAUAUGUUUAAAGUUCUAAAAGGAAAAAAUUUUCAGCCUAGGAUACUCUACCCAGCAAGAAUACAUUUAAAAUAGAAGGGGAAAUAAAUAAUUUCUCUGACAAACAAAAGCUAAAAGAGUACAGCAAUACUAAACCCAUUCUAAAAGAAAUUCUCAAAGGGCUUCUCUAAAUAAAAAAAGAAGUAAGAAGAAAUAGGAUGGAGGAAACCACAAGUGGAAAGCAGUCACUUAAAUAAGCCAGCAUGCAGAACUAAAAGGGGGAAAAAAAACUACUAUAAAAGUGAUAAUAAACACAAGGAGCAGCAAAAGGACAAAGAUGAAGAUGUUAAAAAAGGACUUCAAAAUCAUAGAAUGUGGGGAAGGAAACUAGGAAAAUCUAGACUAUUUUUUUAAUAAUGUAUUUGCGCCUAUAUGACUAUCAGGGUAAAGCAAGCAGAUAUUGGAAAGAGUUAACACACUUAAAAAAACAGGGCACCACAAAUCAAAACUGAACAUUAUAUUUACAGAAACCAAAAAGAAAAGUAUACAAGCAUAAAAUAAGUAGAAAUCAUCCAACCAAAAAAAUAAGUGAACAAAGGAGAAACAUAGAAUCAACUGAAAAACAAGGUUUAAAAUGGCAAUAAAUACAUAUUUAUAAAUAAUUACCUUAAAUGUCAAUGCUCUAAUCAAAAGACACAGAAGUGGCUGAUUGGAUAAAGAAGCAAAAACCUACAAUCUGCUGUCUACAAGAGACUCACCUUAGGGCAAAGGACACAUAUAGACUGAAAGUGAGGGGAUGGGAAAAUAUAUUUCAUGCCAAUGGACAAGACAGGAAAGUAGGUGUUGUAAUACUCAUAUCAGACAAAAUAGACUUUAAAAUGAAGGCCAUAAAGAAAGACAAAAAAGGACACUAUUUAAUGAUAAAAGGGUCCAUUCAAGAAGAGGAUAUUAUAAUCGUCAAUAUAUAUGCCCCUAAUAUAGGAUCACCCAGAUACAUACAGCAGACAUUCACAGACAUAAAAGGAGAAAUUGAUGGGAAUACAAUAUUUUUUUAAGUUUUAUUGAAGUAUAGUUAAUUUACAAAGUUGUGAUAAUUUGUGCUGUACAGCAAAGUGACCCAGCCAUCCAAAGCUGUCUUAAUUGACAUAAGGUGCCCAUAUACAAAACGCACACUCACACAUAAAGCUUCACCUAUUACCACAGAGACACGGUUAGCAGUGGGGAGGUAGAUGGGACCCCACCGCACAGCCCUCCUCACCCCCUUUAGCUAUCUGUCCAUGAGCAUCCGACCUUCCUUCUCAAAGAAGGCUACAGCUCCAACUUCUUGGCCUAAAUUUGACUUUUGUAUACACUGAAUCAUAUAGCACAUAUUUGAAUGUGUUUUGAACUUUGAAUCUUUGAACUUUGAAUCUUCCUUCUUUCACUUAUAUAUUGUGAGAUUUAUCCAUGAUGUCAUAAGUUGCUGCAGCUAAUUCAAUUUCAUUGCUGUACAUAAUUAUUUGUUUUCUCUACUGUUGAUGACUUGGGUUGCUUCACAUUUGGGGCUGUUAGGAAUUUUGCUGCUAUGAACGUUUUUUCCCCUUGUCUCUCAGUAUGUCUAUGUAAAUAUUUUGUUGGGUAUGUGUAUGUUCAGAGUGAUUGUAUUAACCUAACUGCAAAGAGUGCAGGAGUUUCCAGUGCUCCAUGUACUUGUCAACACCUGGUAUUUUUCACUUUAGCCAUUCUCAUGGGUUUAUGAGGUGGUAAAUUAUUGUAGUUUUUGUUUUCAUUUCACUGAUUGCUAAUGAAUUAUAUCUUUUUAUAUCUUUAUGGCUUUUUGGAUAAUCUCAGCUAUGAAGUGCCUGUUCAUUAAUUCUCUUGCCCAUUUUUCUGUUGGGUUGUCUGUCUUUUCCCUGUUGAUUUUUAGGAGUUCUUACUGUAUUCUGGAGGCCAUUGCUGUCAGUUGAAUGUGUUGCAAAUAUUUUCCUCCACUCUGUGGCUUACCUUUUCAGUUUUGUAAUAGUGUUUUUUCAUGAACAGAAGUUCUUAAUUUUAAUGGAGUCUAAAUGAUAAGCAUUUUAUUUUGUGUUUUUACUUUUUUUUUAGUGUCUUGUUUAGUCUUUCUCUAUCCUAAGAUCAGGAAGAUACUAAUCUCUGUUAUGUUCUUUGGAAGUUUACUGUUUUGCAUUUCACGUUUAGAUUUAAAAUCUAAAGUGAUAUUUGUGAGUGGUGUGAGAGAGAGAGAUGUAGUUUUGUUUUCCUACAUGCAUAUCUAUGUAACUAAGAAAUAUUUAUUUGAAGAACUUUCUCCCCUCUGCCAGCUUUUUUCUAGCUCACGUUUUCAUAUAUGAGUGGAUCUUUCUGAAAUCUGUAUUCUGUCGCAUAAGGUCAUGUGCCUGUAUUUGUGGCAGUCCCACAGUUUUAAUUGCCAUAGCUUUCCAUCAAAUCUUCACAUUUGAUAGAACCACCUCUGUGCUGUUUUGCAAGAGUGUCUUGUUUAAUCUUGGUAUCACUUUUUUCUAUGUAAUAUAUAGUUUCCACAGAAACAUCUAUUGCAAUUUUAAUUGAAAUUCCUUUGAAACUAUAAAUAAUUUGGAGAAGGAGUCUCAUCUUUACUCAUCUUAUUUUUUAAGAACAUGUAUUUAUAGAGUUUUUAAAUUUCUCUCAGUAAUAUUUUCAUUUCCUAUGCAGUAGUCUUGUAGAUAGCAUUAUGUUUUUCUCCCUAGAUACUUGAUAUUUUUGAACUACUGUAAAUAGUAUCUUUUAAAAAUUGUAUUUCUAAAUUUUUGUUGUUAAGGCAUAAAAAUAGAAUUGAUUUUUGUAUAUUGACCUUGUAUCCAGCAACCUUGUUAAACUCACUGAUUUUAAUAAGUUAUAUAUAGAUUUACUGAGAUUAUUAUACUCGUGUAUUAUCUGCAAAAAUGACAGCUUUCUUUCUUUUCUAAUCUUAUUAUAUUUUUAUUUCCUUUUAUUAAUGGUGCUGGCCAGAACCUCCAGCACAGUGUUGAAUUGAAUGAGGCUAAGAGGCACUUUUCCUCUCAUUUAGGAACCCAGAGGGGAAACUUCCAGGAUCUUAGCAUUAAGUAUAAGGUUUUUCAUAGUUUUUUGUAGGUCUUUCAUCAAAGAUAUUUGAUUUGGCACAGAGAUUUUAAGGAAAAGGCAGUUCAGGUUACAUGACUUGCCCCUGAAGGGAUGUGUUUUCUUCUAGGGCACACUCCCUAAAGAGCAAUCAUUUUCUGAUUCUCCAGUGUCUCCAGGCAGGGUUUUUAAUUUGUCUGGCUUUUCUUAUCUUUCCCCAUAGGAAGAUUGUAUUAACUAAUCUAUCACUAACAGAAGGAGAGGUCCCUCUCUACCAGUUGUAUUUUUAGGAGAGUUUCUGGAAAUUGACAUACAACAUUUCAUUUAUACCACUUUGGCUAGAUCCAGAGCAAACCCAGCUCUUUGGGAGGCUGGAAAUGUUAAAUGCAAAACAGGGAGUUCUCCCUUGGAAAAGGUCCACCUUAAACCCCAUCCUUAAUAUGGUACUUGAUUAUUCUUUACAUGGAAGACAGAGCUAUCACCUUCUUCCUAACCACAGUGCCUACUGGAUGAUCCAGACUUUGUGAUAAAAAGAUAAAAUUUGGAGAAAGUACGGCACCACAUAAAUAUUUACUGCCUUGAAUCAAGAAAUACAGUUAUAUUACUGGAAAUGAAAAUAAGUGUAUCUUUUGUAAAACAGAAAUCUAGUAAGUCAUAAAAUAAUAGAAGCCCCCAUCUGCAAAGCAGAUGCUAGGAACACGUAAAUGGCCAUGUGAAAUCUUGUUGAGUAGCAUUAUAAUAGUGGCCUGGAAAAAUGGAGUAAUUCAUAUUUGAUUUCUAGAAAUACAGACGUAAAAUGUAGUCAUUUCACCUGUGUUGUAGUCUGUUUAAAUAUUCAGAUACUCUCAGAAAUAGGGUCAUAAGUUAAUUGAACAUAAUGGUUUCCAAGAAGCUGUGCUUCACUAAAUAAUAUAAAUAUUUUUUACUUAGCUGCUUAUUGAGGCUGUUAGCUAUAUGGAAAAUAUCUAAAUAUCUAAACUUCUUGUUAACAAACUCUUAAGAAAGUUUUGUGUGUGUGUGUGUGUGUGUGUGUGUGUGUGUGUUUUGGAUCAUGAAGUUGUUUCUGGAUGAAAUGCCAGAGUAGUUUUCAUUAUCUUUCUGAUAAUACAUAUUCUCUGUUAUGUAGUUGAAAGCCAUUAAAAAUAGUUAAUAUCGAGCUGCUAUUCAUUACAGGAGUUUAGGCUCUUACAUUAGCAUUUUACUAACAAGGAUAUUUAAAUUGUUUUUUGCUUUAAUAGUGUAUCUUACUCCAAAUUAACUUUCAUUAGUCCUCAAUUUUAUAUGCCCUGACUUUAUGAAAAUAUAAAAUUUGAUUAAAUGCUCUAGAUAGAUGAAGCUGAAUUUUGUGAAAUGACAAUGAACUGCUUUUGGACUGUUUUUUAAUUACUUUCAAGUUAACUCCAAAAUUUGUUAUAAAUGCAUCUGUGCUGUUUUAUUGGAGUUUUUUCUCUCAGGAUGAGCAAGCUUAUAUUUAAUUUUAAAUAUGUAUUUAGUGAUAGCCCUGGGGUAUGAAUAAUUAGAAUGAAUUUACCAGGGUUCUUUUAGUGCUGCAAAAAACAGGUAACACAUUAAAUAUGUACAGAAAGCUUGUUUCCAACAUUUUAUGAUGUAAUUAACAAUUUAAAAAAUUCAGACUCCUACAGUAUUAUAACCAUGUGAUAUAAUUUAUCCUACAGUCAUAAAUGGCUUUUAACCUAUAUAUCUUGACCUUAUUCAUAUUUGAAAAUAGGAUUAUUCUAAUUCAAGAGUGUAAUCUUAUGUACUGCAGGUGACUCUGCAAUUAAAAUAGGAAACAGUUAAAAUAGGAAAAUACAGCUAAAGUAUGAAAAUAGAUAACUUCUGGAAUAUUUAAAUGGAAAUGAGCACAGUGGUCAAAAAUAGAACAUAUUUCUGAGAAAGAUUAACAAGUGAUCUUUUCCUGGUUCUGAAUCCCAGCUCUGCCAUGAUCGUGCUCUGCCUAUGAGCUUGUGCAUGUGGCUUAACUUUGCUUGGCCUUGGUUUCCCAUCUGUGAGGUUGAACCCAAUCUCCACGGCCUUUUCUGUGCUCUCUUUCUUUAUCUGAGGCUGGCAUUGUUACAUGUGUUUUGAGUCUUUCUCAUUCCCUCAUACAUACAUUUGGAGGCUAAAAAUAUGUCUUUAUGAAAUAUUUCAAGCACUCAGAACACAGAAAUUUGGAGAAAAUAGAUACCUGUGUAUCUUGUACAUUGUAUGUUAAUGUUUUGAUGUAUUUGCUUUGGUCCUUCUUUUUGAGCUAAUAUAAUAAGCUGUGCCAGGAGUUCCCAUCGUGGUGCAGUGGUUAACGAAUCCAACUAGGAACCAUGAGGUUGCGGGUUCAAUCCCUGCCCUUGCAGUGGGUUAACGAUCCGGUGUUGCCAUGAGCUGUGGUGUAGGUCAUAGACGCGGCUCGGAUCCUGCUUUGCUGUGGCUCUGGCCUAGGCCGGUGGCUACAGCUCUGAUUAGACCCCUAGCCUGGGAACCUCCCAUAUGCCACGGAAAUGGCAAAAGGACAAAAAAAAAAAAAAAAAANAAAA